AAACCAACAGGGAUUGCCUUAGUAGCGGCGAGUGAAGCGGCAAUAGCUCAAAUUUGAAAUCUGGCGUCUUCGGCGUCCGAGUUGUAAUUUGAAGAAGGUAACUUUGAGGCUGGCUCUUGUCUAUGUUCCUUGGAACAGGACGUCACAGAGGGUGAGAAUCCCGUGCGAUGAGAUGUCCAGCUUCGUGUAAAGUGCUUUCGACGAGUCGAGUUGUUUGGGAAUGCAGCUCUAAGUGGGUGGUAAAUUCCAUCUAAAGCUAAAUAUUGGCGAGAGACCGAUAGCGAACAAGUACUGUGAAGGAAAGAUGAAAAGAACUUUGAAAAGAGAGUGAAAAAGUACGUGAAAUUGUUGAAAGGGAAGGGCUUGAGGUCAGACUUGGUUUACCAGGCCAGCAUCAGUUUGGAUGGCAGGAUAAUAGCGAAGGAAUGUGGCUCGGUUUCGGCCGUGUGUUAUAGUCUUCGUUGAUACUGCCUGUCUAGACUGAGGACUGCGUCUUUGACUAGGAUGCUGGCAUAAUGACCUUAAGCCGC
This 530-nucleotide ribosomal RNA is filed under the name Yamadazyma ubonensis. RNAcentral describes it as "eukaryotic LSU rRNA". It matches the Rfam family "Eukaryotic large subunit ribosomal RNA", at positions 62 to 648 of the family's 3401-position model. The record is from RNAcentral. Lineage: Eukaryota; Fungi; Ascomycota; Pichiomycetes; Serinales; Debaryomycetaceae.